Molecule: ribosomal RNA, 253 nt
Filed under: uncultured bacterium
Lineage: Bacteria
Description: partial 16S ribosomal RNA
Rfam family: Bacterial small subunit ribosomal RNA
Source: RNAcentral
UACGAAGGUCCCAAGCGUUAUCCGGAUUUAUUGGGUUUAAAGGGUGCGUAGGCGGGCUAUUAAGUCAGUGGUGAAAGCCCCAAGCUUAACUUGGGAACUGCCAUUGAUACUGAUGGUCUUGAGUACAUUUGAGGUGGGCGGAAUGUGUCAUGUAGCGGUGAAAUGCUUAGAUAUGACACAGAACACCGAUCGCGAAGGCAGCUCACUAAACUGUAACUGACGCUGAGGCACGAAAGCGUGGGGAGCAAACAGG